This 323-nucleotide ribosomal RNA is filed under the name uncultured eukaryote. Its description in RNAcentral is "partial 18S ribosomal RNA". It matches the Rfam family "Eukaryotic small subunit ribosomal RNA", at positions 1470 to 1796 of the family's 1831-position model. The record is from RNAcentral.
CCCUUAGAUGUUCUGGGCCGCACGCGCGCUACACUGAUGCAUGCAACGAGUUCUGUCCUUGGCCGGAAGGCCUGGGUAAUCUGUGAACGUGCAUCGUGAUAGGGAUAGAUUAUUGCAAUUAUUAAUCUUGAACGAGGAGUUCCUAGUAAACGCAAGUCAUCAGCUUGCAUUGAUUACGUCCCUGCCCUUUGUACACACCGCCCGUCGCACCUACCGAUCGAAGGUAAUGAUGAGCCCUCAGGAUUGUGGCCUCGUCGCGUCAGCGUCUUGGCUGCGAGAAUCUGUGCAAAUCCCUACCUUUAGAGGAAGGUGAAGUCGUAACA